GCAGAGCAAGUGAAGCAAGCAGAGGCCAGAGCAGAGAGCAAAGCGAGCAGCUGCGGCGUUCCAUCGCAUCUCCGGCACGCCGGCGACCGAGGCCGAUCAGGAUCAGGCAGGCAAGAUGGUGCAUCAAGCUCCCAAGGAGGUGAUCCCGCUGAUGACGCCGUACAAGAUGGGCCAGUUCCAGCUCUCCCACCGGGUGGUCCUUGCGCCCCUGACGCGGUGUCGCUCCUACGGCAACGUGCCGCAGCCGCACGCCGCCGUGUACUACUCGCAGCGCGCCACCAAGGGCGGCCUCGUCAUCGCCGAGGCCACGGGGGUGUCCGCCACCGCGCAGGGCUACCCGGAAACGCCCGGCAUCUGGACGCAGGAGCAGGUCGAGGCGUGGAAGCCCAUCGUCGAUGCCGUCCACCGCAAGGGCGCGCUCUUCUUCUGCCAGAUUUGGCACGUCGGCAGGGUCUCCAACAACAGUGAGUUUCCAUCUACGAGCAU
This 486-nucleotide long non-coding RNA is filed under the name Setaria italica (foxtail millet). RNAcentral's name for it is "long non-coding RNA (SITA_LNC002814)". Lineage: Eukaryota; Viridiplantae; Streptophyta; Magnoliopsida; Poales; Poaceae. The record is from RNAcentral.